This is a long non-coding RNA of Astatotilapia calliptera (eastern happy), 1219 nucleotides long. NCBI's taxonomy places the organism in Eukaryota, Metazoa, Chordata, Actinopteri, Cichliformes, Cichlidae. The record is from Ensembl.
CAGACACUUUGGGCAUCAAACCCAUUUUUAUUUGAAUUUAAUGCAGUUUAAUCGAACACAGUGCACAUGCAAAGUAUCAUAUUUAAAUAUCCUGUAUGUUUGUACCAAGUGUCAUGUUUUGAAAGUUAAAUAUUUUAACAUUUAGGUAAUAAAUUAACAAAAUCGAAACAUUACUAAAAACACUGCCCACAAUGAGUAUACACAUUUUAAUAAAGCAUAAAAUACAUGAUAAAUUCAUAAAUAUGCAAUGUUCAUACCUGUACCUUUUUCUGAAAAUAUUUUCUUAAAAACACAAAUUCAGUUUAAGACACCAAAAAGGGAAGAAAAAAAAUCACAACUGGACAAAUUUCUUUAUGUCUUUACCAUAAGAAAAAGAGUACUUUGCUCACUUAAAGGUAGUAUGUGUAGGAUUUUCACUGCCUAAUAGAAUAACAUGUGCUACAACAUACAGUCACUGAGCUCCUUCACUGCCUCUGUUGCUUCCGAAUAUUCAGCUACCAGUCUGCUAAUUAAGAAGCAAAAGUGACUUAGUCUUGGACUUAAUACAAAAUCAUCAACAGUACUACACCUUCUUCAAUAACUCAAUACUACACAUAGCACCUUUAAAUGUAUUUUCUGCUGUUCAGAUCAUCAAAAAAUACAGUAAGAGACUGUCAAACAGUGCACGAACCCUUAACAAAAGAAAACAAAAAAACAAUCACAGUUGAAGAAGCAAUUACAGCAUAGCCAUGGGGGCAGGGUACAGCUAUAAAAGUACUGAUGAAUGAAGUGUUUUGUGACAGGGAACCACUGGGUUCCCACGUUACUGAUCUGUUUUUGAGAAUUUCAACACCUUAGGGUCAAGCAAACGGACACAAAACACCUUUGUUGUGUGCCUGAGUGAUGGAGGUAGAAAUGCUGGGCAAAUGGUUGAAAAUCCAGCAUAGGCAAGAAUGAAAUACUCAGUCAUUUGCUUACCAUAAAUAUGAGUUUUCCUGUAUAUUAAAUACAAGUAGCAUAUGGCUUACCUGUAGCACAGUCUGCAAGCUCACUCUAAACUGUCAAAAAUGUGUUUAGAUUUGUCGCAGAGGGGCAGGUUAGGCUUGUUGCACUGGUAGACCUAAAGGGACAGUUAACGGACGAAACGUGCUUAUUUGCUUUUUUGACACUGUGGCGCCGACACAAUGAAGUUGAGCUGCAGCCAGCAGUUAUCAGCAAGCCAAAGCUAACUGAGUGUCUA